RNAcentral lists this ribosomal RNA (254 nucleotides) under uncultured bacterium. RNAcentral's name for it is "partial 16S ribosomal RNA". It matches the Rfam family "Bacterial small subunit ribosomal RNA", at positions 524 to 776 of the family's 1533-position model. The record is from RNAcentral.
UACAGAGGGUGCAAGCGUUAAUCGGAAUUACUGGGCGUAAAGCGCGCGUAGGUGGUUUGUUAAGUUGGAUGUGAAAUCCCCGGGCUCAACCUGGGAACUGCAUCCAAAACUGGCAAGCUAGAGUAUGGUAGAGGGUGGUGGAAUUUCCUGUGUAGCGGUGAAAUGCGUAGAUAUAGGAAGGAACACCAGUGGCGAAGGCGACCACCUGGGACUGAUACUGACACUGAGGUGCGAAAGCGUGGGGAGCAAACAGG